Molecule: ribosomal RNA, 637 nt
Filed under: uncultured bacterium
Lineage: Bacteria
Description: bacterial SSU rRNA
Rfam family: Bacterial small subunit ribosomal RNA
Source: RNAcentral
UUGCCUCUUGGUCUGGGACAACUGUUGGAAACGACAGCUAAUACCGGAUAUUAUGAGAUUCUCGCAUGGGAAACUUAUGAAAGCUAUAUGCGCCAAGAGAGAGCCUUGCGUUCCAUUAGCUAGUUGGUGGGGUAACGGCCCACCAAGGCGACGAUGGAUAGCCGGCCUGAGAGGGUGAACGGCCACAAGGGGACUGAGACACGGCCCUUACUCCUACGGGAGGCAGCAGUGGGGAAUAUUGGACAAUGGGCCACAAGCCUGAUCCAGCAAUUCUGUGUGCACGAUGAAGGCCUUCGGAUUGUAAAGUGCUUUCAGUUGGGAAGAAGAAAGUGACGGUACCAACAGAAGAAGCGACGGCUAAAUACGUGCCAGCAGCCGCGGUAAUACGUAUGUCGCAAGCGUUAUCCGGAUUUAUUGGGCGUAAAGCGCGUCUAGGCGGAAAAAUAAGUCUGAUGUUAAAAUGCGGGGCUCAACUCCGUAUUGCGUUGGAAACUGUUUUUCUAGAGUACUGGAGAGGUGGGCGGAACUACAAGUGUAGAGGUGAAAUUCGUAGAUAUUUGUAGGAAUGCCGAUGGAGAAGUCAGCUCACUGGACAGAUACUGACGCUAAAGCGCGAAAGCGUGGGGAGCAAACAGGA